This 450-nucleotide ribosomal RNA is filed under the name uncultured bacterium. RNAcentral's name for it is "partial 16S ribosomal RNA". It matches the Rfam family "Bacterial small subunit ribosomal RNA", at positions 354 to 796 of the family's 1533-position model. The record is from RNAcentral.
GUGGGGAAUAUUGGACAAUGGGCGAAAGCCUGAUCCAGCCAUGCCGCGUGAGUGAAGAAGGUCUUCGGAUUGUAAAGCACUUUAAGUUGGGAGGAAGGGCAGUAAGUUAAUACCUUGCUGUUUUGACGUUACCGACAGAAUAAGCACCGGCUAACUUCGUGCCAGCAGCCGCGGUAAUACGAAGGGUGCAAGCGUUAAUCGGAAUUACUGGGCGUAAAGCGCGCGUAGGUGGUUUUGUAAGUUGGAGGUGAAAUCCCCGGGCUCAACCUGGGAACUGCCUCCAAAACUGCAUGACUAGAGUACGGUAGAGGGUAGUGGAAUUUCCUGUGUAGCGGUGAAAUGCGUAGAUAUAGGAAGGAACACCAGUGGCGAAGGCGACUACCUGGACUGAUACUGACACUGAGGUGCGAAAGCGUGGGGAGCAAACAGGAUUAGAUACCCGUGUAGUCC